AUGAACGCUGGCGGCGUGCCUAAUACCUGCAAGUCGAGCGAACAGACGAGGAGCUUGCUCCUCUGACGUUAGCGGCGGACGGGUGAGUAACACGUGGAUAACCUACCUAUAAGCCUGGGAUAACUUCGGGAAACCGGAGCUAAUACCGGAUAAUAUAUUGAACCGCAUGGUUCAAUAGUGAAAGACGGUUUUGCUGUCACUUAUAGAUGGAUCCGCGCCGCAUUAGCUAGUUGGUAAGGUAACGGCUUACCAAGGAAACGAUGCGUAGCCGACCUGAGAGGGUGAUCGGCCACACUGGAACUGAGACACGGUCCAGACUCCUACGGGAGGCAGCAGUAGGGAAUCUUCCGCAAUGGGCGAAAGCCUGACGGAGCAACGCCGCGUGAGUGAUGAAGGUCUUCGGAUCGUAAAACUCUGUUAUUAGGGAAGAACAAAUGUGUAAGUAACUAUGCACGUCUUGACGGUACCUAAUCAGAAAGCCACGGCUAACUACGUG
RNAcentral lists this ribosomal RNA (496 nucleotides) under uncultured bacterium. RNAcentral describes it as "partial 16S ribosomal RNA". It matches the Rfam family "Bacterial small subunit ribosomal RNA", at positions 29 to 507 of the family's 1533-position model. The record is from RNAcentral.